This 253-nucleotide ribosomal RNA is filed under the name uncultured Sediminibacterium sp. Its description in RNAcentral is "partial 16S ribosomal RNA". It matches the Rfam family "Bacterial small subunit ribosomal RNA", at positions 524 to 776 of the family's 1533-position model. Lineage: Bacteria; Pseudomonadati; Bacteroidota; Chitinophagia; Chitinophagales; Chitinophagaceae. The record is from RNAcentral.
UACGGAGGGUGCAAGCGUUAUCCGGAUUCACUGGGUUUAAAGGGUGCGUAGGCGGGUAGGUAAGUCAGUGGUGAAAUCCUAGAGCUCAACUCUAGAACUGCCAUUGAUACUAUUUAUCUUGAAUAUUGUGGAGGUAAGCGGAAUAUGUCAUGUAGCGGUGAAAUGCUUAGAUAUGACAUAGAACACCUAUUGCGAAGGCAGCUUACUACGCAUAUAUUGACGCUGAGGCACGAAAGCGUGGGGAUCAAACAGG